CAAAAAGUCACUAUAUUUGUUUCCCCUCUUUUUUCUUCCAGAUGGCUCUUGCCUUAGCAAAUUACUUGCUACAGAAGGUUGAGUUGCAGUUCCGUGACCCUCCUAGAAGGUGAAGAGUGUGGAACAAAUGGGUCACUUACUCUAGCAAAGAUGGGUGUUUUUGUUUUGUUUUUUUUGUUUUUUGUUUUAAACCAAUGCAUAAUGGAUCACCCUCUUCUCUGCCUUUCUCAAGAAGCUGGAUAAUUGUGAAGGGGAGAGGAUAUCAGUUUCUAUCAAGAAGCCUUUUUAAAAAAAAAACAGGAGAAUUCAAGAUACAGAAGGAUCUUGACAGACUUGAACAUUGGGCGCUAUCUAGCAAAAUGAAAUUCAACAGUGAAAAAAGUAAAGUUCUACAUUUAGGCAAGAAAAACAAAACGCACAGACUGAGUUCCUACAUCUCGUCCUCAAAGGCCACAUCCUCACAUCCAUGAAUCACCUUUAUUUAUAUCCUAUGAAUAUUUUGUAAGUCUUGAUGUUCUUCUGGAAAUGUGGUUUCCCAGAAUCUUGCACAUAUGCAGGUGUGAUUCCUUCCUUCCUUCCUUCCUUCCUUCCUUCCUUCCUUCCUUCCUUC
Molecule: non-coding RNA, 610 nt
Organism: Pantherophis guttatus
Lineage: Eukaryota; Metazoa; Chordata; Lepidosauria; Squamata; Colubridae
Source: RefSeq, a predicted model, not a curated record